UACGUAGGGUGCAAGCGUUAAUCGGAAUUACUGGGCGUAAAGCGUGCGCAGGCGGUUGUGCAAGACAGAUGUGAAAUCCCCGGGCUCAACCUGGGAACUGCAUUUGUGACUGCACGGCUAGAGUGCGGCAGAGGGAGAUGGAAUUCCGCGUGUAGCAGUGAAAUGCGUAGAUAUGCGGAGGAACACCCGUAGCGAAGGCGGCACUCUGGGCCGGUACUGACGCUGAGGAGCGAAAGCGUGGGGAGCAAACAGG
Molecule: ribosomal RNA, 253 nt
Filed under: uncultured bacterium
Lineage: Bacteria
Description: partial 16S ribosomal RNA
Rfam family: Bacterial small subunit ribosomal RNA
Source: RNAcentral